Molecule: ribosomal RNA, 1341 nt
Filed under: uncultured bacterium
Lineage: Bacteria
Description: bacterial SSU rRNA
Rfam family: Bacterial small subunit ribosomal RNA
Source: RNAcentral
GACGAACGCUGGCGGCGCGCCUAACACAUGCAAGUCGAACGGAGUUAUGUUGAAAGUUUGCUGGAUAUAUAACUUAGUGGCGGACGGGUGAGUAACACGUGAGCAACCUACCUUUCAGAGUGGAAUAACUUCCGGAAACGGACGCUAAUACCGCAUAACGUGAAGAAGCGGCAUCGCUUUUUCACCAAAGAUUUAUCGCUGAAAGAUGGGCUCGCGUCCGAUUAGGUAGUUGGUGAGAUAACAGCCCACCAAGCCGACGAUCGGUAGCCGGACUGAGAGGUUGAACGGCCACAUUGGGACUGAGACACGGCCCAGACUCCUACGGGAGGCAGCAGUGGGGGAUAUUGCACAAUGGGGGAAACCCUGAUGCAGCGACGCCGCGUGAGGGAAGACGGUUUUCGGAUUGUAAACCUCUGUCUUCGGGGACGAAAAAAAAUGACGGUACCCGAGGAGGAAGCCACGGCUAACUACGUGCCAGCAGCCGCGGUAAUACGUAGGUGGCAAGCGUUGUCCGGGAAUUACUGGGUGUAAAGGGAGCGUAGGCGGGAAAGUAAGUUGAAUGUUUAAACUAUCGGCUCAACUGGUAGUCGCGUUCAAAACUGCUUUUCUUGAGUGCAGUAGAGGUAGGCGGAAUUCCUAGUGUAGCGGUGAAAUGCGUAGAUAUUAGGAGGAACACCAGUGGCGAAGGCGGCCUACUGGGCUGUAACUGACGCUGAGGCUCGAAAGCGUGGGUAGCAAACAGGAUUAGAUACCCUGGUAGUCCACGCCGUAAACGAUGAUUACUAGGUGUGGGGGGACUGACCCCUUUCCGUGCCGGAGUUAACACAAUAAGUAAUCCACCUGGGGAGUACGACCGCAAGGUUGAAACUCAAAGGAAUUGACGGGGGCCCGCACAAGCAGUGGAGUAUGUGGUUUAAUUCGAAGCAACGCGAAGAACCUUACCAGGUCUUGACAUCGAGUGACGAACUUAGAGAUAAGUUUUUCCUUCGGGACACGAAGACAGGUGGUGCAUGGUUGUCGUCAGCUCGUGUCGUGAGAUGUUGGGUUAAGUCCCGCAACGAGCGCAACCCUUAUCAUUAGUUGCUACGCAAGAGCACUCUAAUGAGACUGCCGUUGAUAAAACGGAGGAAGGUGGGGAUGACGUCAAAUCAUCAUGCCCCUUAUGACCUGGGCUACACACGUACUACAAUGGUGAUAAAACAGAGGGAAGCAACACAGCGAUGUGAAGCAGAUCCCGAAAAAUCAUCUCAGUUCAGAUUGCAGGCUGCAACUCGCCUGCAUGAAGUCGGAAUUGCUAGUAAUCGUGGAUCAGCAUGCCACGGUGAAUACGUUCCCGGGCCU